RNAcentral lists this transfer RNA (70 nucleotides) under Anolis annectens. Its description in RNAcentral is "tRNA-Ala". The record is from RNAcentral. Lineage: Eukaryota; Metazoa; Chordata; Lepidosauria; Squamata; Anolidae.
UAAGACUUAUAGAAAACUAAUCUAUAUCUUCUGAAUGCAACUCAAAUACUUUAAUUAAGCUAAAGCCUUA